This 277-nucleotide ribosomal RNA is filed under the name Buchnera aphidicola. RNAcentral's name for it is "partial 23S ribosomal RNA". It matches the Rfam family "Bacterial large subunit ribosomal RNA", at positions 2652 to 2925 of the family's 2925-position model. RNAcentral also lists the same sequence under 2 other names. Lineage: Bacteria; Pseudomonadati; Pseudomonadota; Gammaproteobacteria; Enterobacterales; Erwiniaceae. The record is from RNAcentral.
GUUAGAGAUUUGAAAGGAGUUGCUCCUAGUACGAGAGGACCGGAGUGAACGUACCACUGGUGUUCCAGUUGUGAUGCCAAUUGCAUUGCUGGGUAGCUACGUACGGACGGGAUAACCGCUGAAAGCAUCUAAGCGGGAAGCCUCCCUUAAGAUGAGAUCUCUCUAGGACAUAAGUCCUCUGUAGGUUCGUUGAAGACUACAACGUUGAUAGGUUGGGUGUGUAAGUGCUGUGAGGCAUUGAGCUAACCAAUACUAAUUAACCGUGAGUCUUGAUCAU